Molecule: non-coding RNA, 47 nt
Organism: Oryctolagus cuniculus (rabbit)
Lineage: Eukaryota; Metazoa; Chordata; Mammalia; Lagomorpha; Leporidae
Source: Rfam
GCAAAGGAUUUUUUAAAAUCCAUAGUGUUUUUAAUGAUAUGUAUUUU